RNAcentral lists this long non-coding RNA (276 nucleotides) under Homalodisca vitripennis (glassy-winged sharpshooter). Its description in RNAcentral is "uncharacterized LOC124373000". Lineage: Eukaryota; Metazoa; Arthropoda; Insecta; Hemiptera; Cicadellidae. The record is from RNAcentral.
GCCACCGCUCUGCCUGCUCCAGUAUCAGAUAUUUCCCCCGAGAAACAUCCGACUCUUACUAACAUGGGCAAGGAAAGGACCAGCGUCAACAUGGCCGUCGUCGGCUACUACUAGACCUUCUAUCAGCAGAUGGACGGCUAGUACAACAUGGACAUGACCCGGCUUCUGUACACGGACACGCUCUGGACACGGACGAUACGAUGCUAGGCUCUCCCGGAUUAUUAUAACUCAACAUGAUUGGCUUUUUAUGAAAUAUAUCAAAAUUCUUCCGUUUAA